CUUGGCGGCCAUAGCAAGUUGGACCCACCUGAUCCCAUCCCGAACUCAGCAGUGAAACGACUCCGCGCCGAUGAUAGUGUGCACUACGCAUGUGAAAGUAGGUCACCGCCAGGC
Molecule: ribosomal RNA, 114 nt
Filed under: Sulfuricella sp.
Lineage: Bacteria; Pseudomonadati; Pseudomonadota; Betaproteobacteria; Nitrosomonadales; Sulfuricellaceae
Source: RNAcentral